UGGAUCCAGAACUUUGAUCCUGGCUCAGGAUGAACGCUAGCUACAGGCUUAACACAUGCAAGUCGAGGGGAAACGACAUCGAAAGCUUGCUUUUGAUGGGCGUCGACCGGCGCACGGGUGAGUAACGCGUAUCCAACCUGCCCACCACUUGGGGAUAACCUUGCGAAAGUAAGACUAAUACCCAAUGAUAUCUCUAGAAGACAUCUGAAAGAGAUUAAAGAUUUAUCGGUGAUGGAUGGGGAUGCGUCUGAUUAGCUUGUUGGCGGGGUAACGGCCCACCAAGGCUACGAUCAGUAGGGGUUCUGAGAGGAAGGUCCCCCACAUUGGAACUGAGACACGGUCCAAACUCCUACGGGAGGCAGCAGUGAGGAAUAUUGGUCAAUGGACGAGAGUCUGAACCAGCCAAGUAGCGUGCAGGAUGACGGCCCUAUGGGUUGUAAACUGCUUUUAUAAGGGAAUAAAGUGAGUCUCGUGAGGCUUUUUGCAUGUACCUUAUGAAUAAGGACCGGCUAAUUCCGUGCCAGCAGCCGCGGUAAUACGGAAGGUCCGGGCGUUAUCCGGAUUUAUUGGGUUUAAAGGGAGCGUAGGCCGGAGAUUAAGCGUGUUGUGAAAUGUAGACGCUCAACGUCUGCACUGCAGCGCGAACUGGUUUCCUUGAGUACGCACAAAGUGGGCGGAAUUCGUGGUGUAGCGGUGAAAUGCUUAGAUAUCACGAAGAACUCCGAUUGCGAAGGCAGCUCACUGGAGCGCAACUGACGCUGAAGCUCGAAAGUGCGGGUAUCGAACAGGAUUAGAUACCCUGGUAGUCCGCACGGUAAACGAUGGAUGCCCGCUGUUGGUCUGAAUAGGUCAGCGGCCAAGCGAAAGCAAUUAAGCAUCCCACCUGGGGAGUACGCCGGCAACGGUGCAA
This 910-nucleotide ribosomal RNA is filed under the name uncultured bacterium. RNAcentral's name for it is "bacterial SSU rRNA". It matches the Rfam family "Bacterial small subunit ribosomal RNA", at positions 1 to 899 of the family's 1533-position model. The record is from RNAcentral. RNAcentral also lists the same sequence under 1 other name.